Molecule: ribosomal RNA, 253 nt
Filed under: uncultured bacterium
Lineage: Bacteria
Description: partial 16S ribosomal RNA
Rfam family: Bacterial small subunit ribosomal RNA
Source: RNAcentral
UACGAAGGGGGCUAGCGUUGUUCGGAAUUACUGGGCGUAAAGCGAGUGUAGGUGGUUGUCGUAGUCAGGUGUGAAAGCCUUGAGCUCAACUCAAGAAAUGCACUUGAUACUGGAUAACUAGAGGACCGGAGAGGAUAGUGGAAUUCCCAGUGUAGUGGUGAAAUACGUAGAGAUUGGGAAGAACACCAGUGGCGAAGGCGGCUAUCUGGACGGUUUCUGACACUAAGACUCGAAAGCGUGGGGAGCAAACAGG